Molecule: ribosomal RNA, 382 nt
Filed under: uncultured bacterium
Lineage: Bacteria
Description: bacterial SSU rRNA
Rfam family: Bacterial small subunit ribosomal RNA
Source: RNAcentral
AGCGAACGCUAGCGGCGGGCCUAACACAUGCAAGUCGAGCGGGGAGCUUCGGUUCCCAGCGGCGAACGGGUGAGUAACACGUAGGUAAUGUACCUUCUGGUGGGGAACAACCGCGCGAAAGCGCGGCUAAUACCGCAUAUGUCCUUUGGGAUGAAAGCCUUCGGGCGCCAGUUGAGCAGCCUGCGGCCCAUUAUUUAUUCCUAGUUGGUAGGGUAACGGCCUACCAAGGGUACGAUGGGUAGCUGGCUGAGAGGAUGAUCAGCCACACUGGAACUGAGACACGGUCCAGACUCCUACGGGAGGCAGCAGUGGGGAAUAUUGCGCAAUGGGCGAAAGCCUGACGCAGCCACGCCGCGUGAGUGAUGAAGGCCUUCGGUUGUAA